This is a long non-coding RNA of Solenopsis invicta (red fire ant), 2440 nucleotides long. RefSeq lists it as uncharacterized. The transcript has 2 exons. The record is from RefSeq and is a predicted model, not a curated record. Lineage: Eukaryota; Metazoa; Arthropoda; Insecta; Hymenoptera; Formicidae.
UCCGCGCGUCGUGGGGUGGCGUGGUACACCAUGCGGUACGACCUGCCUGCCCUCUUCCCUCUCUCAUUCUCUUCUCCGAUCCCCUCCCGCUCGGCUCCUCGCUCUCUAGCAUCCCUCUUUCUCCCGCGGAUAUAGUGCAUCCCAACAUCGUCGGAGAAGAGAGAAUCGUUACUAUGGCGAGAUCAAUAUGAUAGGACGGCGCAUGCCUCGGUAUCCUUAUACUUGAACCCUUCGCCGCCACUCGCUCUGCCGCGCGUCUCUCUCGCAGUUCUGCUCGUUCCGUCGUCGUCGCACCGCAUCCUCUAGCCUCGCCACCUCGCACUCCAUCUCGGCAGCCUCCAUCUCUGUCGCUCAUGCGAUCCACGUCCCCCGAUGACGUCCUCCAUAUCUCUUAGCCCCUCGCGCGCGGUACAUCCCUCUUCGUCUUGGCGCGCGCUGGAGGCCGCGUGCCAGACCGUGGGCGGCGUUGACUUAACUCACUUCAGUCAACAGAGGGCCGUAUGCGAGAGGAUACUCUUCGGUCUCUUCGGUCCGGAUCGACCUACGGGAUGUUCUUCUUUUCUUCAUCGAAUGAAGCAGAAGCCACGUCAAAAUAAAACAGCGGAAGCUGCCAGCUAGUUAGGGGAGAUCUAUUCCGAAUCAUCGCAUUUGAAACAAGAGGGCGCCAACUAGAUGUUUUAUAGAAAGGAAAAGAAAUAAAGCUAGCCGUUCGUCGGCGUCGUGUAAUAUUUUGGCACGCUCAAGAAGACGCGCUUGUGUGCUCCUGUUCGAAAUAUGUGAUGUAUGACUAUCGAGUCAGCCGGGUGAUAUGACAUGUCUAUGUUCAACGGAGCGUACCAAAGUGAUAUAAAAAAAAAGAAAGUUUUUAGUUUUCAAUUAAGUUUUCUCUCCAGUUUGACGCAGAGCUAGCACAAACAUUAAAAAAGAACAUAAUUGUAUAAUAAAUUUAAUUUUGUUUUAUGACCAUUUUCAUGUACACUUUGAGAAUAGAAGAAAAUGAAAGAGAGCACAAUCGUUGAAAGCGCUGACCAUUUAAGAAUCAUUUAAAUAAGACGCCAUGAAACGUAAUAGUUUUCGUUCCUUAGCAAUUUACAUGAAGCAAAUAACAUAUUACGAAGCUCGUUUUUUUUUCUAAUUAGAAAAAAGGUCGACUGGACGAAGGUUAACGCUCCGUUGGCCCGAUUCUCCUUUGUGCUGCCUUUUCUCCGCUCUUCCGCGUCGCGCGUUCCUUUACAUGCUCACGUGUUGAACGAUAAUAACGAUCACAACAACGAUGUUCUAAUCUGACGCCUAUCUGAUCGUAUCAAUAUACGAUCGAAUUCCUGAAUCGGGCUAACCAUCCUAUAACACUUAUGUCUCCUCAGUCUAAGUAACAGGCUUAAUGACAAAUACGUUUUUGAUUUUUUUAGAAAACGUUUCUGGAAAAUCGUUUUUCAUUGUCGCCUGUAGAAAUAUUUAACAUCAAAUUUCUUUAAAUAAACUCUUUGCCAUUCUAUUAUUUUUUGUAAAUGAGAUAUGUCAUCUUUAAUUUUUAUAUAACAUGAAUCAAAAUCAUUUUUCUUACUUGAAGGGAAGAAUUUAUAAAGACUCCGAAAUAAUUCACUGAUUAUAAUGACGUAAAAAGUCAAAGAAGUUGAAAAAUUUAUGCGACUGGCUACACACAACGCAUUAUGUAAAGUCACAAUGAGACUGCAAAGAGUUGAAUUACGAGUGAGUAAAUGUGAAUUUAUUUGAGCAAUAGUUUUUUACGUACCUCUACUAGGAAAAUUUAAUUUAUAAAGAAAUCUUUUCACGAUUAUUUGCAAUUCAAAAAGUACGAGCAAUUCAAAAUUUUACAAAUGCAUGAUUAUCAAAGAAGCUAUGAUUGUAAAAUUUAACGUGAUAAAAACGUUCUUUACAAACUUUAUUAACGCGUCAUCGGGCUGAGUUUUAUUAUUUGUCUUCUGUCAAAACUCUGAAAUAUCCUGAAAGAAAUUCCACGUUGGCAUCCGAUUCUGUAGCGCGCCUCAACGCUGAUAACCCCUAGACGCAUUAGGCGCAGUGUAUUUACAUUUGCAUCACUGGCAUCCUGGAGGUUCCGCCUUUGCGAUUUCUACGCUACCGCUGGUAAUAGUCGCGAGUUUAUACACUCUACUGGCGUCAAAGUCACGUUUCUCGGGCAGUUUCCACCACGAUGCGCCAACGUUCUUCGACAUCUCUCUACUCGCGCUUCCGCUUCUGAUUGUCUAUUGCGUUUCCGCUUCAUCGGCCCCUUGCAUUUUUCAUUCCAACUUAUUUGACGCUGUCCAAUCGCAAAGAAUAACCAAUGUAAGCCGGUUCGCGAUUGACUACAAAAAAGAAGCGACGUAACUUCUCCGCUUUUCAAUACGUAGUUUUUUUUUUUAUCUCCGCCACUGGCGGGUGCUGAAUCACGAAUGAAAUAUUUUCUGUGGUCUGGGUC